UGAACCCUCCUAUUACAGUUUUCUUCCAAAAUGCAUUCAUCUUCUUUGGUGGUCUGGUGUUCAAGUUUGGCAGAACUGAGGACCUCUGGCAGUAAAGAUCCACUUUCUUCAAUCAAAUCCCACAGUCCAUCAACACACAAUUCCUCUGUACUUAUUGCUGCUUAUUUGCACUCUACAUUUCUUUUCCAACUCCUCGGCUGCCUCCCUUUCUUAAAUAUGUUCCUUUUUCCUUUCUUUGUCUUGUUUCCUGUGUGGCCACAGCGAGAGAAAUACAAAUCAAAUCCAGACUCUGCAGUCAAAAUGGACACAUUUAGACCUCACACCGCGUGUAUAAUAAAAAUGACUUGUAUACAAUGGAAUUACAAUG
Molecule: long non-coding RNA, 367 nt
Organism: Cyprinus carpio (common carp)
Lineage: Eukaryota; Metazoa; Chordata; Actinopteri; Cypriniformes; Cyprinidae
Exons: 2
Source: RefSeq, a predicted model, not a curated record